Molecule: ribosomal RNA, 736 nt
Filed under: Candidatus Allofontibacter communis
Lineage: Bacteria; Pseudomonadati; Pseudomonadota; Alphaproteobacteria; Candidatus Pelagibacterales; Candidatus Pelagibacteraceae
Description: bacterial SSU rRNA
Rfam family: Bacterial small subunit ribosomal RNA
Source: RNAcentral
UAUGGAGAGUUUGAUCCUGGCUCAGGACGAACGCUGGCGGCGUGCUUAACACAUGCAAGUCGAGCGAUGAAGUUUCUUCGGAAAUGGAUUAGCGGCGAACGGGUGAGGAACACGUGAAGAAUCUGCCCUCCGGCCACACUGGGACUGAGACACGGCCCAGACUCCUACGGGAGGCAGCAGUGGGGAAUAUUGGGCAAUGGAGGAAACUCUGACCCAGCGACGCCGCGUGCGGGAUGAAGGCCUUCGGGUUGUAAACCGCUUUCAGUAGGGAAGAAGCGAAAGUGACGGUACCUACAAAAGAAGCACCGGCUAACUAUGUGCCAGCAGCCGCGGUAAUACAUAGGGUGCAAGCGUUGUCCGGAAUUAUUGGGCGUAAAGAGCUCGUAGGUCGUUUGUUACGUCGGAUGUGAAAACCUGAGGCUCAACCUCAGGCCUGCAUUCGAUACGGGCAAACUAGAGUUUGGUAGGGGAGACUGGAAUUCCUGGUGUAGCGGUGGAAUGCGCAGAUAUCAGGAGGAACACCAAUGGCGAAGGCAGGUCUCUGGGCCAAUACUGACACUGAGGAGCGAAAGUCUGGGGAGCGAACAGGAUUAGAUACCCUGGUAGUCCAGACCGUAAACGGUGGGCACUAGUUGUGGGAACCUUCCACGGUUUCUGCGACGCAGCUAACGCAUUAAGUGCCCCGCCUGGGGAGUACGAUCGCAAGAUUAAAACUCAAAGGAAUUGACGGGGCCCC